CCUACUGGCGGCAGCAGUGAGGAAUAUUGGUCAAUGGGCGCGAGCCUGAACCAGCCAAGUCGCGUGAGGGAAGACGGUCCUAUGGAUUGUAAACCUCUUUUGUCGGGGAGCCAAAGACGCCACGCGUGGCGUUCCGAGAGUACCCGAAGAAAAAGCAUCGGCUAACUCCGUGCCCGCAGCCGCGGUAAUACGGAGGAUGCUAGCGUUAUCCGGAUUUAUUUGGUUUAAAGGGUGCGCAGGCGGAAGAUCAAGUCAGCGGUAAAAUUGAGAGGCUCAACCUCUUCGAGCCGUUGAAAGUGGUUUUCUUGAGUGAGCAAGAAGGAUGCGGAAUGCGUGGUGUAGCGGUGAAAUGCAUAGAUAUAACGCAGAACUCCGAUUGCGAAGGCAGCAUACCGGCGCUCAACUGACGCUCAUGCACGAAAGUGUGGGUAUCGAACAGGAUUAGAUACCCCAGUAGUC
This 459-nucleotide ribosomal RNA is filed under the name uncultured bacterium. RNAcentral describes it as "partial 16S ribosomal RNA". It matches the Rfam family "Bacterial small subunit ribosomal RNA", at positions 338 to 795 of the family's 1533-position model. The record is from RNAcentral.